RNAcentral lists this ribosomal RNA (484 nucleotides) under uncultured bacterium. RNAcentral describes it as "partial 16S ribosomal RNA". It matches the Rfam family "Bacterial small subunit ribosomal RNA", at positions 30 to 507 of the family's 1533-position model. The record is from RNAcentral.
AUUGAACGCUGGCGGCAGGCCUAACACAUGCAAGUCGAGCGGAUGAAGGGAGCUUGCUCCUGGAUUCAGCGGCGGACGGGUGAGUAAUGCCUAGGAAUCUGCCUGGUAGUGGGGGAUAACGUCCGGAAACGGGCGCUAAUACCGCAUACGUCCUGAGGGAGAAAGUGGGGGAUCUUCGGACCUCACGCUAUCAGAUGAGCCUAGGUCGGAUUAGCUAGUUGGUGGGGUAAAGGCCUACCAAGGCGACGAUCCGUAACUGGUCUGAGAGGAUGAUCAGUCACACUGGAACUGAGACACGGUCCAGACUCCUACGGGAGGCAGCAGUGGGGAAUAUUGGACAAUGGGCGAAAGCCUGAUCCAGCCAUGCCGCGUGAGUGAAGAAGGUCUUCGGAUUGUAAAGCACUUUAAGUUGGGAAGAAGGGCAGUAAGUUAAUACCUUGCUGUUUUGACGUUACCAACAGAAUAAGCACCGGCUAACUUCGUG